GACAGAGGUGCCAAGCGUUAGGCGGAAUCACUGGGCUUAAAGCGUGUGUAGGUGGAUGCCUAAGUGCCUUGUGAAAUCCCACGGCUCAACCGUGGAAUUGCUUGGCAUACUGGGUGUCUUGAGCCACUUAGGGGUCGCUGGAACAAACGGUGGAGCGGUGAAAUGCGUAGAUAUCGUUUGGAACGCCAAUGGUGAAAACAGGCGACUGGGAGUGUGCUGACACUGAGACACGAAAGCCAGGGGAGCGAACGGG
Molecule: ribosomal RNA, 253 nt
Filed under: uncultured bacterium
Lineage: Bacteria
Description: partial 16S ribosomal RNA
Rfam family: Bacterial small subunit ribosomal RNA
Source: RNAcentral